CUCUUCUCUCCCUCGUUCGUCCCUCUUCUCUCCCUCGGUCGUCUUCUUCACCGUCCUCUUUCACGCCAAACGUAUUUUAUUCGAUUCUAUCUCGUGCUCCGCCUACAAACACUCGGAUCUGAGGCUGCUGCUUAGGUCGGGAAUAGUGGUGGUAGGCGCAUUGGCAUUCGGAUACCUAACCUUGCCACACGAUUGAAGCCGUUUCUCGAGAAAGCUCAAGAAACCCUAAAAAAAUCUGACCACCCCCUUUUUCCAGCUGCAGUGGAAGGGAAUUAGGAAGAUCCAACGUUUAAAUUUCAAAUACCACUCCAAAAUGCUGCAGAGCGUGAGAUUGCGAGAUUUCUGAUUGGAGCUUAAAAAUCUUUGUACCAAUGACAGUCCUGGCACUUCUUAUCCUCAUUCCAGUCAAUGUAUCAAGUGGGACACUAUUUUUCCUCAGAAGAGAACUGGUUAUGAUUUCAGGAUAGUUUCUUCGCUAGCUUUGCUCUUGGUUGGGUAAUCACGAAUGGUGCUGGCCUUGCAUCCCAUCCAAUUGACACUGUCUGUAGAAGAAUGAUGAUGACAUCUGGUGAAACCGUCAAGUAUAAGAGUUCCUUUGAUACAUUCUCUCAAAUCCUCAAGAAUGAGGGUCCCAAAUCUCUCUUUAAGGAAGCUGGUGCAAAUAUACUCCAUGCUGGUCCCAUUGUCCUUGGUUGUCAAAGCGGUCUUAAUUUCAUUUUGUUGGUUUUUGAUUCAUACGCAAUUAUAAUUUGCUCUCUUUCGAAUUAUUACCAAUUUCAAAUUCGGGAGAAGCUUUUACUGAACAUUGAUGAUCAUUGUCUCCAUAUCAUUUGUCUCCCAAGGUUUUGUUUGACCCUAGAUGGUUAUUUGGUCUAGAAUUAUAUGUAUGCUUAUGUCAAACAGUAUGACACAAGGGUUGAUUUCUUUUUU
RNA transcript from Juglans regia (Persian walnut), 930 nucleotides. It is a transcript of the gene named ADP,ATP carrier protein 3, mitochondrial-like, with no coding region annotated. NCBI's taxonomy places the organism in Eukaryota, Viridiplantae, Streptophyta, Magnoliopsida, Fagales, Juglandaceae. The record is from RefSeq and is a predicted model, not a curated record. The transcript has 4 exons.